AAGUCGUAACAAGGUUUCCGUAGGUGAACCUGCGGAAGGAUCAUUACUAAAUGCGAAGCUUCGGCUUAGCUUUAAUAAUCCCUCAACACCUGUGCACCGUAUUGUCUUCGGACAAUUACAAUUACAAACAUCAGUGUAAAGAAUGUAUUAUUACUUUAACAAAAUACAACUUUCAACAACGGAUCUCUUGGCUCUC
This 196-nucleotide unclassified non-coding RNA is filed under the name fungal sp. RNAcentral's name for it is "partial contains small subunit ribosomal RNA, internal transcribed spacer 1, and 5.8S ribosomal RNA". The stretch from base 1 to 46 matches the Rfam family "Eukaryotic small subunit ribosomal RNA", at positions 1786 to 1831 of the family's 1831-position model. Lineage: Eukaryota; Fungi. The record is from RNAcentral. RNAcentral also lists the same sequence under 1 other name.